This is a long non-coding RNA of Harmonia axyridis, 646 nucleotides long. RefSeq lists it as uncharacterized. The transcript has 3 exons. The record is from RefSeq and is a predicted model, not a curated record. Lineage: Eukaryota; Metazoa; Arthropoda; Insecta; Coleoptera; Coccinellidae.
GCUUCAAACGUUCGCAAAGGGUGGCCGUCAACCGGGCCACGUGCGUGUCUAUGAAUCGUCAGUGUGCUGCGUAGUUGGGAUGAGAAAGGAGUUUCCGAAAAUUUUCAAAGGCGUCGAGCCGCUCUACGAAGGAGAUGGAGAUGGUGAUAAGGGGUUAACAGUGUCCCAUAAUUGCUUGUGUGUUUAGGCUGUCACUGCACGUCCGAUUCAAUAUGAACUGAAAAGACAACCACCAGCUGCAAUUCGAAGAGGCAAGAAAGAAAUUUCCAUCGAGGAUCUGGUAUUGAAAAUGGGUAUUCAAAACCAUAUUUGAUCAAACAGACAACACAUCCCUUGUGUGUGACUAAGCCAUGUGAACAGAUAACUUUUUCGAGGAGAAUCACGUACUGUAUUGGCGAUACAAAGAUGAUUGGAGCAACUAUGUACGAAUCAGUCCCUGAGGUAAAAGUGAAAAGUUUUGCUAAGCCUGAAGAAAACUCAUGUAUACAACAAAAAAGCAACAGAUGUUUAAUGGAUAUGGACAAUGAGAAAGAGUAUCAGAUAAUAAGUACAACAACAUACGCAGAGCCGGCCUCAGAACAUGCAGUGCCACCAAUCAAACCACCGAGGAAGAAGAAGUACCAACAAAUUCCUAGACAUCAUUCCU